Molecule: long non-coding RNA, 516 nt
Filed under: Equus caballus (horse)
Lineage: Eukaryota; Metazoa; Chordata; Mammalia; Perissodactyla; Equidae
Description: lncRNA (ENSECAG00000051329.1)
Source: RNAcentral
GCCCCUCCCUGCCUUUGAACUCACAGAAGGGUGGGGAGGGGCAGCGUGUAGGUCAGACAAGACAAUGCUGAGUGAAAGGUACAGGGUGGUGGUCUGGCAGAGGGGCCGUGAGGACAAGAAGUGCCCACAGCAUCCUAGACAUAGGUCCACCGCCUCAACUCCAGCUCGCUCCCUCUGGACUCAGAGUGUAGACAAACGCCUGUGAGGUGCCCUGAGCCCUUUGGAGAUGAUCACUCCGAUCCGGUGCCCAGGCCGGUUGGCCAAGGCCCCUGGGUUCCAGCGUCCCUUGGCUGCCGGGUGACAGCUGUGAGAGUACAGGGGUAAUAUGCUGGGUCAGCGGUCUUCCAACUCGAGAAUCGACAUCCGCAUCACUUGGGGGGCUUGUUCAAACACAGUGUUGGGCCCCACCCCCCAUGUUUCUCACUCAUCAGGUCUGGGGUUGUCCCUACUGACAGCAGAUAUGUGACCUGGUUGCAAGAGACACGUGUUUGAGCUCAGGGUCCCUCUCACUUUUUG